AAACGCGGUGGGAACCGCCCCCGACUCCAGGCAACUCCUUGGCCGGGCGGGGGAGAGCGUCCCCGUCAGCUGAGAGCAUCCUCACUCGGUCAGUUCCUCGGGCGAGUUACGGGGACGACCUGCGGGAGCACGCGGGCAGUGGCCGGACGCUGAAGCCCAGGAGAGCGAUGGAGACGUAUGCGGAGGCUGGGAAGGAGGGCAAGCAAAGAGUUGUCGAGCAUCCACGUUGUGCCAAGGAUGGUUAGAGCAUGGAGAGGUGCACCCUUUUGGGAGAUGGAGGCAUAUGCAUAGUGGGCCGUGGCUGAGGAUGAGGAUGGAGCAGCUGUGGUCCACCUUUGAGGCCCAUCUCCCUCAAGCAGCUACCAAGCAGUCCUUCCUGUGCAUCGGUGGAUCUGCAGGGAGACAGCUCCUUACAGGUGGAGAUUUCUGACGCAGUGAGUGAGCGGGACAAGGUGAAAUUCACUGUUCAAACAAAGGUGAGGCAGUGCGGGGCACGAGGAAAGGUCCUGGUGGCUGCCCGCAGGAGGCCUCCCCCAGGGGUGGUAGGCAUGUGCCAACACAGCCUGUGGGCACUCUUCCUCCACCUGGCACUUGCCCUCAGCCCCUCCUGGGAAGUGAGCCUCUUAGCUCUGCCUAAGGCCCCGAGUCCUAAUCAUUCCUGUCCACCAGUCUAAAUGAAAUCAUGCACACCUGAGCUCUAACUUUGUCCUCCCUGGGAUGUGGGAUGAGGGGGGCCCAAAAGUGGGUGCCCAGGAGACUUGCUGAGGCAGGGCUUGGGGCAGAGAGAGGACCUCAGUUGGCCUUCCCGCUUCCAGAGCUGCCUCCCUCACUUCGCCCAGACCGAGUUCUCAGUCGUGCGGCAGCACGAGGAGUUCAUCUGGCUGCAUGAUGCCUAUGUGGAGAACGAGGAGUACGCCGGCCUCAUCGUGAGGAGGGGCUGGGCAGGGGCUGGGAGGGACAGGCAGAGCACUUGGGUGAGGACCAAAGGCUGUGAUGGCCGUCUUGGCAGUGAGAGGCCUCCCAGCUCCGUCCCUCCUUUGAGCAGAUCCCCCCAGCCCCUCCGAGGCCAGACUUUGAGGCUUCGAGGGAAAAGCUACAGAAAUUGGGCGAGGGGGACAGCUCUGUCACUCGGGAAGAGUUUGCCAAGAU
This 1149-nucleotide small RNA is filed under the name Pan troglodytes (chimpanzee). Its description in RNAcentral is "retained intron". The record is from RNAcentral. Lineage: Eukaryota; Metazoa; Chordata; Mammalia; Primates; Hominidae.